GUUGUUCGGAAUUACUGGGCGUAAAGGGCUCGUAGGCGGCCAACUAAGUCAGACGUGAAAUCCCUCGGCUUAACCGGGGAACUGCGUCUGAUACUGGAUGGCUUGAGUUUGGGAGAGGGAUGCGGAAUUCCAGGUGUAGCGGUGAAAUGCGUAGAUAUCUGGAGGAACACCGGUGGCGAAGGCGGCAUCCUGGACCAACACUGACGCUGAUGAGCGAAAGCCAGGGGAGCAAACGGG
RNAcentral lists this ribosomal RNA (237 nucleotides) under uncultured bacterium. RNAcentral describes it as "partial 16S ribosomal RNA". It matches the Rfam family "Bacterial small subunit ribosomal RNA", at positions 540 to 776 of the family's 1533-position model. The record is from RNAcentral.